Long non-coding RNA from Micropterus salmoides (largemouth bass), 1683 nucleotides. RefSeq lists it as uncharacterized. The transcript has 2 exons. Lineage: Eukaryota; Metazoa; Chordata; Actinopteri; Centrarchiformes; Centrarchidae. The record is from RefSeq and is a predicted model, not a curated record.
AACACACACAACUGAGCUCCACACACACACUGUACAACACACAGCCUUGGCAGUCAUCAUUAAACAGCGUAAUUUGCAUAAUGCAUAUACUGCAGCUUCUUUGUCAUAAGUCUCACUACUUCCAGGCGUCAGCACCACAUUGUGGCUGCAUUUUGUGCUAAUUACACCCAAACAAACAAAUCACAACAAACUGAGCUGACAAGAGGGUUGAUGGGAGCUCACAGCCUGCUGAUGGCUUAUAUUUUAAGAAAUUCUUUUUAUAGAUUCCUAGCGACAAGUUUUAUGCAAACAGUGUCACAGGCAAAAGAUAAAAGAUUCACACAGAAUCAAAAACACACACACACAAAGCUUAUCUAUUCUGAGAAAAUCUACUUUUAUUUUCUAUAGACCACAUGUAUGAUAAAAUAAUGGAUACAGAGUACUGUACUCUUCAUAAUCAAAUACUUUUAAUUUAGAGCUAAAACAAGUACAUCCAUAUCAACCAAACUCCAAUCACUAAACAAGAGUCAGACUGCCUUGCUCCAGGGAUUAGAGUCAGAGAAGAACCUUUCCACUGUUUGUACUAUUCUCAAUCCAAAUAGUUGUAAAAUGUUAUUUUUUAACCACUGUAAUUUCCCAUUUCAAUGUUUUCAUUACAUUAUAUCCUCAAUAUUCCUCAACAAAGAAACUGUUUUGGUAUGGUUAUAAAUACUAAUGUGUAUUAGGACUUCAUUUGGAUCCGCAGGAUUUUAUACAGCGUGAAAAUUGUUUUUUUUAUGUCAGUGAUCACAAAGUCUUGAAGUAUCUGCUGGUUUAUUAAGAAAAAAUACCAUACAAGUUUGGGCAUUAAACAAGUCCUCUUACAUGACUGAACUGUUACACUGUUGAAUUGAUUAAUGAUACUACUAGAAAAUGGUUCCUAAAGCCAAUGGUCUAAAGGGUCUUCUUCUAAAGGUGUUCAGGCUUACAACAAAAGGUGAGACAGGCAAAGGUCAAAACAGGCAAGCAGUCCAAUUAGGCAACAAAAUCCAAAUGGGAAUGAACAAGAAUCCAAAAGAAGGCAGAAAUUCAAAAACACAUGGACACACUAGGAAAAGGGUUGGACCCCUUGACAUGAGGACAACAACAGACAAAGGGAAAUAAGUGAGGGGAGGCUAACUAGACACAUGUGAAACUAAUUAGGACAGGACAGACAAUCAAAACAGGUGGGAAACACACAAAGGCAGAAGGUGAAAUUAAAGACACAUGAGGAAGCAAACUUACAAAAACAACCAUUUCUACUAACUCAGUCAUAUCCAAGCAGAUAGAUUUUGUUUAAUUUCAAAAGAUUUUAAAAUCUUUUCUUUGUUUCUAUCUCAGUACAAUGGAGGGGAACUGAAUAGUUUGUGGUGCAUAUCAUUUGAGAAAUUCAACUGUCCCUGUCACUCUGUUGCCAUUGGAAGCAGGAAAAAGAAAACAGUAAGAUAGCAGGAUAUACCAACUCGGGCUCCUGCCAGAGGCUGCAGACUGGCAUUUCAGCUGAUUGGCACUGCAGGCGGUUAACACGGCAGCACAUACAGGAUGUUAAUGGGAACCACAGCCCGGGGAUACACUCACAUUCUGGACUCAUUGUGUGUGUGUAAUUGGUGGCUACUUUCUGACAUUUGUGUGCAAGACUAUUUUCCAAGCAGACAUUUGAGAAUUAUUAAAAUGUGUGUCAAUGUG